Molecule: ribosomal RNA, 1346 nt
Filed under: uncultured bacterium
Lineage: Bacteria
Description: partial 16S ribosomal RNA
Rfam family: Bacterial small subunit ribosomal RNA
Source: RNAcentral
GACGAACGCUGUUGGCGUGCUUAACACAUGCAAGUCGAACGGAAAGGCCCUGCUUUUGUGGGGUGCUCGAGUGGCGAACGGGUGAGUAACACGUGAGUAACCUGCCCUUGACUUUGGGAUAACUGCAGGAAACUGGGGCUAAUACCGGAUAGGAGCUCCUGCUGCAUGGUGGGGGUUGGAAAGUUUCGGCGGUUGGGGAUGGACUCGCGGCUUAUCAGCUUGUUGGUGGGGUAGUGGCUUACCAAGGCUUUGACGGGUAGCCGGCCUGAGAGGGUGACCGGCCACAUUGGGACUGAGAUACGGCCCAGACUCCUACGGGAGGCAGCAGUGGGGAAUAUUGCACAAUGGGCGGAAGCCUGAUGCAGCAACGCCGCGUGCGGGAUGACGGCCUUCGGGUUGUAAACCGCUUUCGCCUGUGACGAAGCGUGAGUGACGGUAAUGGGUAAAGAAGCACCGGCUAACUACGUGCCAGCAGCCGCGGUGAUACGUAGGGUGCGAGCGUUGUCCGAAUUUAUUGGGCGUAAAGGGCUCGUAGGUGGUUGAUCGCGUCGGAAGUGUAAUCUUGGGGCUUAACCCUGAGCGUGCUUUCGAUACGGGUUGACUUGAGGAAGGUAGGGGAGAAUGGAAUUCCUGGUGGAGCGGUGGAAUGCGCAGAUAUCAGGAGGAACACCAGUGGCGAAGGCGGUUCUCUGGGCCUUUCCUGACGCUGAGGAGCGAAAGCGUGGGGAGCGAACAGGCUUAGAUACCCUGGUAGUCCACGCUGUAAACGGUGGGUACUAGGUGUGGGGUCCAUUCCACGGGUUCCGUGCCGUAGCUAACGCUUUAAGUACCCCGCCUGGGGAGUACGGCCGCAAGGCUAAAACUCAAAGGAAUUGACGGGGCCCCGCACAAGCGGCGGAGCAUGCGGAUUAAUUCGAUGCAACGCGUAGAACCUUACCUGGGUUUGACAUGGAUCGGGAGUGCUCAGAGAUGGGUGUGCCUCUUUUGGGGUCGGUUCACAGGUGGUGCAUGGCUGUCGUCAGCUCGUGUCGUGAGAUGUUGGGUUAAGUCCCGCAACGAGCGCAACCCUUGUUCACUGUUGCCAGCACGUUAUGGUGGGGACUCAGUGGAGACCGCCGGGGUCAACUCGGAGGAAGGUGGGGAUGACGUCGAGUCAUCAUGCCCCUUAUGUCCAGGGCUUCACGCAUGCUACAAUGGCUGGUACAGAGAGUGGCGAGCCUGUGAGGGUGAGCGAAUCUCGGAAAGCCGGUCUCAGUUCGGAUUGGGGUCUGCAACUCGACCUCAUGAAGUCGGAGUCGCUAGUAAUCGCAGAUCAGCAACGCUGCGGUGAAUACGUUCCCGGGGCU